AUUGAACGCUGGCGGCAGGCCUAACACAUGCACGUCGAGCGAUCGGCGGACGGGUGAGUAAUGUCUGGGAAACUGCCUGAUGGAUGGGGAUAACUACUGGAAACGGUAGCUAAUACCGCAUACCAUCAGAUGUGCCCCGAUGGGAUUAGCUAGUCGGUGGGGUAAAGGCUGACCUAGGCGCCGAUCCCUAGCUGGUCUGAGAGGAUGACCAGACACACGGGAACGGAGAAACGGGCCAGACUCAUACGGGAGGAAGAAGUGGGGAAGAUUGGAAAAUGGGCGCAAGCCUGAUGCAGCCAUGCCGCGUGUGUGAAGAAGGCCUUCGGGGUGUAAAGCACUUUCAGCGGGGAGGCGUUACCCGCAGAAGAAGCACCGGCUAACUCCGUGCCAGCAGCCGCGGUAAUUC
Molecule: ribosomal RNA, 406 nt
Filed under: uncultured bacterium
Lineage: Bacteria
Description: partial 16S ribosomal RNA
Rfam family: Bacterial small subunit ribosomal RNA
Source: RNAcentral